GACGAACGCUGGCGGCGUGCCUAAUACAUGCAAGUCGAGCGGAUGAAAGAGGAGCUUGCUCCUCUAGAUUCAGCGGCGGACGGGUGAGUAACACGUGGGCAACCUGCCCUGUAGAUUGGGAUAACUCCGGGAAACCGGGGCUAAUACCGAAUAAUCCUUCGGACCUCAUGGUCCGAUGUUGAAAGACGGUUUCGGCUGUCACUACAGGAUGGGCCCGCGGCGCAUUAGCUAGUUGGUGAGGUAACGGCUCACCAAGGCCACGAUGCGUAGCCGACCUGAGAGGGUGAUCGGCCACACUGGGACUGAGACACGGCCCAGACUCCUACGGGAGGCAGCAGUAGGGAAUCUUCCACAAUGGACGAAAGUCUGAUGGAGCAACGCCGCGUGAGUGAAGAAGGUUCUCGGAUUGUAAAACUCUGUUGUGAGGGAAGAACAAGUACCGGAGUAACUGCCGGUGCCUUGACGGUACCUCAUUAGAAAGCCACGGCUAACUACGUGCCAGCCGCCGCUGUAA
RNAcentral lists this ribosomal RNA (514 nucleotides) under uncultured bacterium. Its description in RNAcentral is "partial 16S ribosomal RNA". It matches the Rfam family "Bacterial small subunit ribosomal RNA", at positions 28 to 523 of the family's 1533-position model. The record is from RNAcentral.